GGAGGGGUGGCUGAGCGGUUGAAAGCGGCGGUCUUGAAAACCGUUGUGGGGGUGACUCCACCCAGGGUUCGAAUCCCUGCCCCUCCGCCA
This 90-nucleotide transfer RNA is filed under the name Nitrospirota bacterium. RNAcentral's name for it is "Nitrospirae bacterium (sediment metagenome) tRNA-Ser". It matches the Rfam family "tRNA". Rfam says of the family: Transfer RNA (tRNA) molecules are approximately 80 nucleotides in length. Their secondary structure includes four short double-helical elements and three loops (D, anti-codon, and T loops). The record is from RNAcentral. Lineage: Bacteria; Pseudomonadati; Nitrospirota.